GAUGAAGAACGCAGCGAAAUGCGAUACGUAAUGUGAAUUGCAGAAUUCAGUGAAUCAUCGAGUCUUUGAACGCACAUUGCGCCCCCUGGUAUUCCGGGGGGCAUGCCUGUCCGAGCGUCAUUGCUGCCCUCAAGCACGGCUUGUGUGUUGGGCCUCCGUCCUCCUCCCGGGGGACGGGGCCGAAAGGCAGCGGCGGCACCGCGUCCGGUCCUCGAGCGUAUGGGGCUUCGUCACCCGCUCUUGUAGGCCCGGCCGGCGCUUGCCGACACAUCAAUCUUUUUUCCAGGUUGACCUCGGAUCAGGUAGGGAUACCCGCUGAACUUAAGCAUAUCAAUAAGCGGAGGA
This 345-nucleotide unclassified non-coding RNA is filed under the name soil metagenome. RNAcentral's name for it is "partial contains 5.8S ribosomal RNA, internal transcribed spacer 2, and large subunit ribosomal RNA". The stretch from base 1 to 120 matches the Rfam family "5.8S ribosomal RNA", at positions 35 to 154 of the family's 154-position model. The record is from RNAcentral.